Molecule: ribosomal RNA, 458 nt
Filed under: uncultured Erysipelotrichaceae bacterium
Lineage: Bacteria; Bacillati; Bacillota; Erysipelotrichia; Erysipelotrichales; Erysipelotrichaceae
Description: partial 16S ribosomal RNA
Rfam family: Bacterial small subunit ribosomal RNA
Source: RNAcentral
ACGGGAGGCAGCAGUAAGGAAUUUUCGGCAAUGGGGGAAACCCUGACCGAGCAACGCCGCGUGAGUGAUGAAGGUCUUCGGAUUGUAAAACUCUGUUGUAAAGGAAGAAUGUUAUGAAUAGGAAAUGAUUCAUAAGUGACGGUACUUUACUAGAAAGUCACGGCUUACUACGUGCCAGCAGCCGCGGUAAUACGUAGGUGGCAAGCGUUAUCCGGAUUUAUUGGGCGUAAAGGGUGUGUAGGCGGUUUGUUAAGUUUGAGGUGAAAGCGUUGGGCUCAACCCAAUAUAGCCUCAAAUACUGGCAGACUAGAGUGCAGAAGAGGGUAAUGGAACUCCAUGUGUAGCGGUAAAAUGCGUAGAUAUAUGGAAGAAUACCGGCGGCGAAGGCGGUUACCUGGUCUGUAACUGACGCUCAGACACGAAAGCGUGGGGAGCAAAUAGGAUUAGAUACCCUGGUA